GCGCCCGUAGCUCAGUUUGAUAGAGCAGCGGUUUCCUAAACCGUUGGUCGCAGGUUCAAGUCCUGCCGGGCGCA
Molecule: transfer RNA, 74 nt
Filed under: Candidatus Omnitrophota bacterium
Lineage: Bacteria; Pseudomonadati; Candidatus Omnitrophota
Description: Candidatus Omnitrophica bacterium (activated sludge metagenome) tRNA-Arg
Rfam family: tRNA
About the family: Transfer RNA (tRNA) molecules are approximately 80 nucleotides in length. Their secondary structure includes four short double-helical elements and three loops (D, anti-codon, and T loops). Further hydrogen bonds mediate the characteristic L-shaped molecular structure. tRNAs have two regions of fundamental functional importance: the anti-codon, which is responsible for specific mRNA codon recognition, and the 3' end, to which the tRNAs corresponding amino acid is attached (by aminoacyl-tRNA synthetases). tRNAs cope with the degeneracy of the genetic code in two manners: having more than one tRNA (with a specific anti-codon) for a particular amino acid; and 'wobble' base-pairing, i.e. permitting non-standard base-pairing at the 3rd anti-codon position.
Source: RNAcentral